Molecule: ribosomal RNA, 456 nt
Filed under: uncultured bacterium
Lineage: Bacteria
Description: bacterial SSU rRNA
Rfam family: Bacterial small subunit ribosomal RNA
Source: RNAcentral
CUACGGGAGGCAGCAGUGAGGAAUAUUGCGCAAUGGCCGAAAGGCUGACGCAGCGACGCCGCGUGGAGGAUGACGCCCUUCGGGGUGUAAACUCCUGUUGCCCGGGACGAAUACCUGUUUCGACAGGGGUGACGGUACCGGGUGAGGAAGCACCGGCUAACUCUGUGCCAGCAGCCGCGGUAAUACAGAGGGUGCGAGCGUUGUCCGGAAUCACUGGGCGUAAAGGGCGCGUAGGUGGCGCGGUAAGCGUGUGGUGAAAGUCCGGGGCUCAACCCCGGAUCGGCCAUGCGAACUGCCGCGCUGGAGCACGGUAGAGGCACAUGGAAUUCCGGGUGUAGCGGUGGAAUGCGUAGAGAUCCGGAAGAACACCGGUGGCGAAGGCGGUGUGCUGGGCCGUUGCUGACACUGAGGCGCGACAGCGUGGGGAGCGAACGGGAUUAGAAACCCCAGUAGUCC